UACGUAGGGGGCUAGCGUUGUCCGGAAUCAUUGGGCGUAAAGCGCGUGUAGGCGGCCCGGUAAGUCCGCUGUGAAAGUCGGGGGCUCAACCCUGGGAUGCCGGUGGAUACUGUCGGGCUCGAGUCCGGAAGAGGAGUGUGGAAUUCCUGGUGUAGCGGUGAAAUGCGCAGAUAUCAGGAGGAACACCAGUGGCGAAGGCGGCUCACUGGUCCGGUAGCUGACGCUGAGGUGCGAAAGCGUGGGGAGCAAACAGG
This 254-nucleotide ribosomal RNA is filed under the name uncultured bacterium. Its description in RNAcentral is "partial 16S ribosomal RNA". It matches the Rfam family "Bacterial small subunit ribosomal RNA", at positions 524 to 776 of the family's 1533-position model. The record is from RNAcentral.